Non-coding RNA from Pan troglodytes (chimpanzee), 148 nucleotides. It matches the Rfam family "Metazoan signal recognition particle RNA". Rfam says of the family: The signal recognition particle (SRP) is a universally conserved ribonucleoprotein. It is involved in the co-translational targeting of proteins to membranes. The record is from Rfam. Lineage: Eukaryota; Metazoa; Chordata; Mammalia; Primates; Hominidae.
GCCGGGCGUGGUGGUGGCGCGCCUGUAAUCCCAGCUACUAGGGAGGCUGAGGCAGGAGAAUCACUUGAACCCAGGAGGCAGAGGUUGCAGUGAGCAAGAUCAUGCCACUGCACUCCAGCCUGGGCAACAGAGUGAGACUCUGUCUCAA